AUGGCAGCAGUCAGCAGAGAGGAGCGGUGGAGCCUCGCCGGCAAGACGGCCCUCGUCACCGGCGGAACCAAAGGAAUCGGGCGCGCGAUCGUGGAGGAGCUUGCGGGGUUCGGCGUCCGGGUGCACACCUGCGCCCGGAGCGACGCCGACAUGCAGGAGCGGCUGCGCGGAUGGGCCGCCGAGGCUGAGGCGCGCGUCACGGGCUCGGCAUGCGACGUCUCCGUGCGUGUCGACUGGGAGGCGCUCAUGGCAACGGCUAACGCCGAGCUGGGGGGCAAGCUGGACAUUCUUGUGAACAACGCCGGCCAGACCUUCUUCGGGGAAGCCACGGCGUGCACGGCGGAGGAGUACACCCGUCUCAUGGCCACCAACCUUGAGUCCUGCUUCCAACUCGCGCAGCUCGCGCACCUGCUCCUCCUCGCUGGCAAUGGCGGCAGCGUGGUGAACAUCUCAUCCAUCGGCGGGAUCCUCGGAUACUCAAAGUUGUCGUUGUACUCGGCGACCAAGGCGGCCCUGAACCAGCUCACCCGUACCCUCGCCAUGGAGUAGGCGUGCGAUGGCAUCCGGGUCAACUGCGUCGCGCCGGGAGGCGUCCGGACGGACCUCCUCAUGGACUCAGAGGCGGCACGGAGGAUGUGGGAGGCGGAGAGCGGGCGCACCGCUUUGGGCCUCCUAGGCGAGCCGGAGGAGGUCGCGUCGCUUGUAGGGUUCCUCUGCAUAUCGGCUGCUUCGUACAUCAUCGGGCAGGUCAUUUGCAUCGAUGGCGGCCGUACCGUAGCCGCCUAG
This 786-nucleotide ribosomal RNA is filed under the name Triticum aestivum (bread wheat). Its description in RNAcentral is "partial small subunit ribosomal RNA". The record is from RNAcentral. Lineage: Eukaryota; Viridiplantae; Streptophyta; Magnoliopsida; Poales; Poaceae.